ACUCUCUGUGCGGAAAAUAUUGCCACACAAAGAAAAAGAAUCCGGAGAGACUGAAAGUCCGCAGGAGCAUAAUGCAUUCCAUAAGGGAAACUCACUGGGGAGACAGAGACUCUGGGGGAUAAAAAGUUGUGCGUAGUCCAGGCUACGACUUAAAAACUGUUGGGGACACGAGGGUAAUUCCAUAAAAAUAAAUCAAUGGAAAGACUCAAUCGGGGAUAAAGGGAAAAUCUGCAGGGGAAGCGGGUAAAU
Molecule: long non-coding RNA, 249 nt
Filed under: Lathyrus oleraceus (garden pea)
Lineage: Eukaryota; Viridiplantae; Streptophyta; Magnoliopsida; Fabales; Fabaceae
Description: Pisum sativum (pea) long non-coding RNA (PSAT_LNC033066)
Source: RNAcentral